UAUAUUAAUAACAAAUGGACAAAUUUCAUUUUCAAAAGCAAGAAGGGUAAAUAUGUAAUUUUAUAUUAAAAAUCAUUGUCUAUAUAAACUUCACAAAGCACUCUGCUGUCUCAAGUGGAUAAAGGUCUGUUAAAUAAGGGAUUAGUUGGUACUACUUACCACACACCGAGAGAAAAGUGAAUUACAGGAGCGAACAACUAUCCCAACGAAGUCGAAAUUCUUUUUAUCAUCCAAAUAUCAACUUCUUCCUUGAUUGUCGCCUUUAAACAUAAAAGGCACAAAAAUGCUCAGUUUGAAAACACCAAUUAAAGGUUGAUCAGACGAUCGAUAGAUCAAAGAAGCAAAAAGGGCAAAGCGAUAAUUG
This 364-nucleotide unclassified non-coding RNA is filed under the name Hevea brasiliensis (rubber tree). Lineage: Eukaryota; Viridiplantae; Streptophyta; Magnoliopsida; Malpighiales; Euphorbiaceae. The record is from RNAcentral.